This 505-nucleotide ribosomal RNA is filed under the name Firmicutes bacterium P4. RNAcentral describes it as "bacterial SSU rRNA". It matches the Rfam family "Bacterial small subunit ribosomal RNA", at positions 260 to 758 of the family's 1533-position model. The record is from RNAcentral. Lineage: Bacteria; Bacillati; Bacillota.
ACGGCUCACCAAGCGACGAUCAGUAGCCGGCCUGAGAGGGUGAACGGCCACACUGGGACUGAGACACGGCCCAGACUCCUACGGGAGGCAGCAGUGGGGAAUUUUCCGCAAUGGGCGAAAGCCUGACGGAGCAAUGCCGCGUGAAUGAAGAAGGCUUCGGGUUGUAAAAUUCUGUCCUAAGGGAAGAAUGUAUGAUAUGUGAACAAUGUAUCGUAAUGACGGUACUUUAGGAGGAAGCCCCGGCUAACUACGUGCCAGCAGCCGCGGUAAUACGUAGGGGGCAAGCGUUGUCCGGAAUUACUGGGCAUAAAGCGCGVGUAGGSGGWUAAUUAAGUCAGUUGUGAAAACUCUGGGNUCAACCGAGAGCAUGCAUCUGAAACUGGUUAUCUUGAGUGUAGAAGAGGAGAGUGGAAUUCCUAGUGUAGCGGUGAAAUGCGUAGAUAUUAGGAGGAACACCAGUGGCGAAGGCGACUCUCUGGUBUAUAACUGACGCUGAGGCGCGAAA